Molecule: ribosomal RNA, 236 nt
Filed under: uncultured Candidatus Saccharibacteria bacterium
Lineage: Bacteria; Candidatus Saccharimonadota
Description: partial 16S ribosomal RNA
Rfam family: Bacterial small subunit ribosomal RNA
Source: RNAcentral
UAAGUAGAUAGUGAAAUCUGGUGGCUCAACCAUUCAGACUGUUAUCUAAACUGCCCAGCUCGAGAGCGUUAGGGGUAGUUGGAAUUUCUAGUGUAGGAGUGAAAUCCGUAGAUAUUAGAAAGAACACCGAUAGCGUAGGCAGGCUACUGGGACGUUUCUGACACUAAGGCACGAAAGCGUGGGGAGCAAACGGGAUUAGAUACCCCGGUAGUCCACGCUGUAAACGAUGGAUACUA